RNAcentral lists this ribosomal RNA (386 nucleotides) under uncultured bacterium. RNAcentral's name for it is "bacterial SSU rRNA". It matches the Rfam family "Bacterial small subunit ribosomal RNA", at positions 123 to 541 of the family's 1533-position model. The record is from RNAcentral.
AAUCUGCCCUCAGGAGGGGGACAACAGCUGGAAACGGCUGCUAAUACCCCAUAUGCCGCGAGGUGAAAUGAAUUUCGCCUGAGGAUGAGCUCGCGUCUGAUUAGCUUGUUGGUGUAGGUAAUGGCUCACCAAGGCAUCGAUCAGUAGCUGGUCUGAGAGGAUGAUCAGCCACACUGGGACUGAGACACGGCCCAGACUCCUACGGGAGGCAGCAGUGGGGAAUUUUCCGCAAUGGGCGAAAGCCUGACGGAGCAACGCCGCGUGAGGGAUGAAGGCCUCUGGGCUGUAAACCUCUUUUAUCAAGGAAGAAGAUCUGACGGUACUUGAUGAAUAAGCCACGGCUAAUUCCGUGCCAGCAGCCGCGGUAAUACGGGAGUGGCAAGCGU